Molecule: ribosomal RNA, 460 nt
Filed under: uncultured bacterium
Lineage: Bacteria
Description: partial 16S ribosomal RNA
Rfam family: Bacterial small subunit ribosomal RNA
Source: RNAcentral
CCUACGGGUGGCAGCAGUGAGGAAUAUUGGUCAAUGGUCGGGAGACUGAACCAGCCAAGCCGCGUGAGGGAUGAAGGUACAGAGUAUCGUAAAUCUCUUUUGUCAGGGAACAAUGGCGGGGACGUGUCCCCGGAUGAGUGUACCUGAAGAAAAAGCAUCGGCUAACUCCGUGCCAGCAGCCGCGGUAAUACGGAGGAUUCGAGCGUUAUCCGGAUUUAUUGGGUUUAAAGGGUGCGCAGGCGGAUUGUUAAGUCAGCGGUCAAAAGCCCGGGCUUAACCCCGGCCCCGCCGUUAAAACUGGCAGUCUCGAGUGGGAGUGAGGUAUGCGGAAUGCGCGGUGUAGCGGUGAAAUGCAUAGAUAUCACACAGAACUCCGAUUGCGAAGGCAGCAUGCCGGCUCCACACUGACGCUGAGGCACGAAAGCGUGGGUAUCGAACAGGAUUAGAUACCCCUGUAGUC